RNAcentral lists this ribosomal RNA (546 nucleotides) under uncultured bacterium. RNAcentral's name for it is "partial 16S ribosomal RNA". It matches the Rfam family "Bacterial small subunit ribosomal RNA", at positions 355 to 892 of the family's 1533-position model. The record is from RNAcentral.
UAGGGAAUCUUCCACAAUGGACGCAAGUCUGAUGGAGCAACGCCGCGUGAGUGAAGAAGGUUUUCGGACCGUAAAGCUCUGUUGUUGGUGAAGAAGGAUAGAGGUAGUAACUGGCCUUUAUUUGACGGUAAUCAACCAGAAAGUCACGGCUAACUACGUGCCAGCAGCCGCGGUAAUACGUAGGUGGCAAGCGUUGUCCGGAUUUAUUGGGCGUAAAGCGAGCGCAGGCGGAAGAAUAAGUCUGAUGUGAAAGCCCUCGGCUUAACCGAGGAAUUGCAUCGGAAACUGUUUUCUUGAGUGCAGAAGAGGAGAGUAGAACUCCAUGUGUAGCGGUGGAAUGCGUAGAUAUAUGGAAGAAUACCAGUGGCGAAGGCGGCUCUCUGGUCUGCAACUGACGCUGAGGCUCGAAAGCAUGGGUAGCGAACAGGAUUAGAUACCCUGGUAGUCCAUGCCGUAAACGAUGAGUGCUAAGUGUUGGGAGGCUUCCGCCUCUCAGUGCUGCAGCUAACGCAUUAAGCACUCCGCCUGGGGGAGUACGACCGCAAG